RNAcentral lists this ribosomal RNA (764 nucleotides) under uncultured Planctomycetota bacterium. RNAcentral's name for it is "bacterial SSU rRNA". It matches the Rfam family "Bacterial small subunit ribosomal RNA", at positions 569 to 1325 of the family's 1533-position model. The record is from RNAcentral. Lineage: Bacteria; Pseudomonadati; Planctomycetota.
GCGCAGGCGGAAGGGCAAGUGCCUUGUGAAAUCCCACGGCUCAACCGUGGAAUUGCUCGGCAGACUGCUUUUCUUGAACCCAACAGAGGUCGUCGGAACGAUAGGUGGAGCGGUGAAAUGCGUAGAUAUCUAUCGGAACGCCAAGGGUGAAGACAGGCGACUGGGUUGGUGUUGACGCUCAGGCACGAAAGCGUGGGGAGCGAACGGGAUUAGAUACCCCGGUAGUCCACGCCGUAAACGAUGUGCACUAGAUCGAGGAGGUUUUGACGCCAUCUCGGUCGUAGCGAAAGUGUUAAGUGCACCGCCUGGGGAGUACGGUCGCAAGGCUAAAACUCAAAGGAAUUGACGGGGACUCACACAAGCGGUGGAGCAUGUGGCUUAAUUCGAAGCAACGCGAAGAACCUUAUCCAGGGUUUGACAUGGUUGGAUUAACUUCCUCAAAGGGAAGCCACGCCCUCUGGGUGGAACAAUCACAGGUGCUGCAUGGCUGUCGUCAGCUCGUGCUGUGAAGUGUCGGGUUAAGUCCCUUAACGAGCGAAACCCCUGUCGUUAGUUGCCAGCGAGUCAUGUCGGGGACUCUAACGAGACUGCCGGUGUCAAACCGGAGGAAGGUGGGGAUGACGUCAAGUCCUCAUGGCCUUUAUGCCCUGGGCUGCACACGUGCUACAAUGGCAUGGACAGAGCGAAGCGAUGCCGCAAGGUGGAGCAAAUCGCAAAAACCAUGCCCCAGUUCGGAUUGUGGUCUGCAACUCGACCACAUGAAG